UCCUCCUUAGCUCAGUUGGUUAGAGCACCUGACUGUUAAUCAGGGGGUCGUUAGUUCAAGUCUAACAGGGGGAGCAA
This 77-nucleotide transfer RNA is filed under the name Sphingobacteriales bacterium. RNAcentral's name for it is "tRNA-Asn". It matches the Rfam family "tRNA". From Rfam's summary of the family: Transfer RNA (tRNA) molecules are approximately 80 nucleotides in length. Lineage: Bacteria; Pseudomonadati; Bacteroidota; Sphingobacteriia; Sphingobacteriales. The record is from RNAcentral.